This 460-nucleotide ribosomal RNA is filed under the name uncultured bacterium. RNAcentral's name for it is "partial 16S ribosomal RNA". It matches the Rfam family "Bacterial small subunit ribosomal RNA", at positions 338 to 795 of the family's 1533-position model. The record is from RNAcentral.
CCUACGGGUGACAGCAGUGAGGAAUAUUGGUCAAUGGGCGGGAGCCUGAACCAGCCAAGUCGCGUGAGGGAAGACGGUCCUAUGGAUUGUAAACCUCUUUAGUCGGGGAGCAAUGCCGGGCACGUGUGCCCGGUGGGAGAGUACCCGCAGAAUAAGCAUCGGCUAACUCCGUGCCAGCAGCCGCGGUAAUACGGAGGAUGCGAGCGUUAUCCGGAUUUAUUGGGUUUAAAGGGUGCGUAGGCGGAUUUUUAAGUCAGCGGUAAAAUGUCCGGGCUCAACCCGGGCCGGCCGUUGAAACUGGGGAGCUUGAGUGGGCGAGAAGUAUGCGGAAUGCGUGGUGUAGCGGUGAAAUGCAUAGAUAUCACGCAGAACUCCGAUUGCGAAGGCAGCAUACCGGCGCCCGACUGACGCUGAGGCACGAAAGCGUGGGGAUCGAACAGGAUUAGAUACCCUAGUAGUC